RNAcentral lists this ribosomal RNA (467 nucleotides) under uncultured bacterium. RNAcentral describes it as "partial 16S ribosomal RNA". It matches the Rfam family "Bacterial small subunit ribosomal RNA", at positions 28 to 506 of the family's 1533-position model. The record is from RNAcentral.
GACGAACGCUGGCGGCGUGCUUAACACAUGCAAGUCGAACGGAAAGGCCCUGCUUUUGUGGGGUGCUCGAGGGGCGAACGGGUGAGUAACACGUGAGUAACCUGCCCUUGACUUUGGGAUAACUUCAGGAAACUGGGGCUAAUACCGGAUAGGAGAUCCUGCUGCAUGGUGGGGGGUGGAAAGUUUCGGCGGUUGGGGAUGGACUCGCGGCUUAUCAGCUAGUUGGUGGGGUAGUGGCUUACCAAGGCUUUGACGGGUAGCCGGCCUGAGAGGGUGACCGGCCACAUUGGGACUGAGAUACGGCCCAUACUCAUACGGGAGGCAGCAGUGGGGAAUAUUGCACAAUGGGCGGAGGCCUGAUGCAGCAACGCCGCGUGCGGGAUGACGGCCUUCGGGUUGGAAACCGCUUUCGCCUGUGACGAAGCGUGAGUGACGGUAAUGGGUAAAGAAGCACCGGCUAACUACGU